AGGACGAACGCUGGCGGCGUGCUUAACACAUGCAAGUCGAGCGGAAAGGCCCUUCGGGGUACUCGAGCGGCGAACGGGUGAGUAACACGUGAGUAACCUGCCCCUAGCUCUGGGAUAGCUCCGGGAAACCGGGAUUAAUACCAGAUACGACCACUUUAGACAUCUGUCGUGGUGGAAAGUUUUUCGGCUAGGGAUGAGCUCGCGGCCUAUCAGCUAGUUGGUGGGGCAACGGCCUACCAAGGCGACGACGGGUA
This 254-nucleotide ribosomal RNA is filed under the name uncultured bacterium. Its description in RNAcentral is "partial small subunit ribosomal RNA". It matches the Rfam family "Bacterial small subunit ribosomal RNA", at positions 26 to 285 of the family's 1533-position model. The record is from RNAcentral.